This 84-nucleotide transfer RNA is filed under the name Bacteroidota bacterium. RNAcentral describes it as "Bacteroidetes bacterium (activated sludge metagenome) tRNA-Leu". It matches the Rfam family "tRNA". From Rfam's summary of the family: Transfer RNA (tRNA) molecules are approximately 80 nucleotides in length. Their secondary structure includes four short double-helical elements and three loops (D, anti-codon, and T loops). The record is from RNAcentral. RNAcentral also lists the same sequence under 1 other name. Lineage: Bacteria; Pseudomonadati; Bacteroidota.
GCCGAAGUGGUGGAAUGGUAGACACGCUGGAUUCAAAAUCCAGUGUCCUCAACAGACGUGUGGGUUCGAGUCCCACCUUCGGUA